Molecule: long non-coding RNA, 1182 nt
Organism: Branchiostoma floridae (Florida lancelet)
Lineage: Eukaryota; Metazoa; Chordata; Leptocardii; Amphioxiformes; Branchiostomatidae
Exons: 3
Source: RefSeq, a predicted model, not a curated record
UAACCUACACGUGGUAUCCCCACUCACUCCCGCCAUCAGAUCUUAGGGAGCAGGCUGCAUCCUCAGAUCAGAGCUGCCCCAGGUCAGCAGCGGAGGGAUGUAUAUGAAAAGACAACCGCCGAACUUUAAUAUCAGUUGGAGACGAAACGCGGCUCGAAGAGGUCAUGGCUUCGGUAGAAGUCAGAUCAAACCGCCGUGGUCUCCAGGGCUCCAUCGACUGCCUUGCUGAUAGGAGGACUUAACCGGUCAGUGUGAUGUGAGUGAGUGCGCCUGAUGAAAGCGCAAACAUAGGGAUGUAAUCAAUGCAGACUUGUUGGAAUAUAUCAAUCAGCUAAGGUGAUCAUGUUGAGAUGAGUGUGUGUCCUAAGAGCGACGAAGACAAAAUAUCCCUGGCACCCGUAAAGAUGUUCACCAUGACUCCACUACCCCGCCACGCCACAUACUGCGACUCUUUUCGUUUAUUUUUGUUCUCUCUACGUACAGCAGUGCCUACAACAUAUCUUAGCUGUGACGAGCAUCCAAACAGCCGUACAACGACUGUGUCAAAUUUAUGAGUUGGCUUUCAAUUGGAAGAAACCGCUAUUUUCAGUAUCAGUGUAUCCGUUAAGUAUUUGAAACGGGCGAUGUGAUCUCUGUGUUUUCUCUCGAUCCCAACAGACUGACCAUACACACUGGACACGAGUGACAACGUCAAGGUGUUCCUGACACCCGUACCUGUGUCCACCAGGACGACGCAGUUCCGCCACAACGUGCACAGGGACUCCUACCACGACAGGGAAAGUCAGUGGAGUCCGUGCAAGUCAGUGAGACGAGCUGCAUCACUGAAGGAGCCGGAAUAGACGUCCGUGUGCCUUAUAAAGUCGGGAAGGAGCUACAAAUCACCCAUAACAGCACCGUCGACAGGAGGAAGAUAAUGAGAGGGGAGUGCCAGACCAGUAGCAGAUCUAGAAUAGCCAAUCGAUUGCGCUGCUACAACCAUAGUGAACCUGAAACUAGUUAGAGAAUUUGCGGGCUAGUUUUGAGGUGAUUUAUACCAUUACUGUGCAUUUUAGUGUACUGGGUAUACAUUGCAGUAGUAGUUGAUUGUGCAUGUGUAUCAAAGAACCGUACAUAAGGUUAACCUCAGCGACGACGGACCGAAUCAAACCGGAGAUGGAUGUAGUAAAGGAGAGAACCGCCAUA